GUGCCAGCCGCCGCGGUAAUACGGAGGGGGCUAGCGUUGUUCGGAAUUACUGGGCGUAAAGCGCACGUAGGCGGACCAGAAAGUUGGGGGUGAAAUCCCGGGGCUCAACCUCGGAACUACCUUCAAAACUAUUGGUCUUGAGUUCGAGAGAGGUGAGUGGAAUUCCGAGUGUAGAGGUUAAAUUCGUAGAUAUUCGGAGGAACACCAGUGGCGAAGGCGGCUCACUGGCUCGAUACUGACGCUGAGGUGCGAAAGCGUGGGG
Molecule: ribosomal RNA, 262 nt
Filed under: uncultured Rhodobacterales bacterium
Lineage: Bacteria; Pseudomonadati; Pseudomonadota; Alphaproteobacteria; Rhodobacterales
Description: partial 16S ribosomal RNA
Rfam family: Bacterial small subunit ribosomal RNA
Source: RNAcentral